UACGUAGGGGGCUAGCGUUGUUCGGAAUUACUGGGCGUAAAGCGCACGUAGGCGGAUUGUUAAGUCAGGGGUGAAAUCCCGGGGCUCAACCCCGGAACUGCCUUUGAUACUGGCAUUCUCGAGUCCGGAAGAGGUGAGUGGAAUUCCGAGUGUAGAGGUGAAAUUCGUAGAUAUUCGCAAGAACACCAGUGGCGAAGGCGGCUCACUGGUCCGGUACUGACGCUGAGACGCGAAAGCGUGGGGAGCAAACAGG
This 253-nucleotide ribosomal RNA is filed under the name uncultured bacterium. RNAcentral describes it as "partial 16S ribosomal RNA". It matches the Rfam family "Bacterial small subunit ribosomal RNA", at positions 524 to 776 of the family's 1533-position model. The record is from RNAcentral.